Molecule: ribosomal RNA, 201 nt
Filed under: uncultured bacterium
Lineage: Bacteria
Description: partial 16S ribosomal RNA
Rfam family: Bacterial small subunit ribosomal RNA
Source: RNAcentral
GACGAACGCUGGCGGCAGGCCUAACACAUGCAAGUCGAACGCUGUAGCAAUACAGAGUGGCAGACGGGUGAGUAACGCGUGGGAACAUACCCUUCGGUUCGGAACAACUCAGGGAAACUUGAGCUAAUACCGGAUACGUGCGAGAGCAGAAAGAUUCAUCGCCGAAGGAUUGGCCCGCGGCCCAUCAGCUCGUUGGCGGGU